This 413-nucleotide long non-coding RNA is filed under the name Corvus moneduloides (New Caledonian crow). Its description in RNAcentral is "lncRNA (ENSCMUG00000018978.1)". The record is from RNAcentral. Lineage: Eukaryota; Metazoa; Chordata; Aves; Passeriformes; Corvidae.
AAGCGGUGCCGGGGCCGGGGGGGUGUUUCGGGUUUUGUUUUGGAGCCGGGAAGCCGGGAAGCCGGGAGCGCCGCCAACGAGCAGACCCCGGCGGACGGGGGCAGAGUCGCGGUGCGGGUGAGAAUCCCGGUGCGGGGAGACCCCGUCCUGCCCUGCCUGCUGCCAUCCCCCCUCCGCCGCUCCUUGGAGAGUCGUGCCCGAAGCCCAACUUUCCAGCCCGCCCGCCGGCCCCAGCAUGAACCAGACGGCCGGGGUGAGCAACCACGUCCGCUGCUCCGGCAAGGGCUCCAAGGUGUUGAGCUUCUAAAAGAAAGCUGAAGUCACCAAGAAAAUUCCAGUACUAAAACAUAGCAGAGUGCAUACUGGAUCCCUCCAAAGGUCAAAAUAGUUUCUUUUUUCAUCUCCUUGAUAAU